This 73-nucleotide transfer RNA is filed under the name Chitinophaga parva. It matches the Rfam family "tRNA". From Rfam's summary of the family: Transfer RNA (tRNA) molecules are approximately 80 nucleotides in length. Their secondary structure includes four short double-helical elements and three loops (D, anti-codon, and T loops). The record is from Rfam by way of RNAcentral. Lineage: Bacteria; Pseudomonadati; Bacteroidota; Chitinophagia; Chitinophagales; Chitinophagaceae.
GCGGGAAUAGCUCAGUUGGUAGAGCGCCAGUUUCCCAAACUGGAGGCCGCGGGUUCGAGCCCCGUUCCCCGCU